Molecule: ribosomal RNA, 1256 nt
Filed under: 'Quercus humboldtii' phytoplasma
Lineage: Bacteria; Bacillati; Mycoplasmatota; Mollicutes; Acholeplasmatales; Acholeplasmataceae
Description: bacterial SSU rRNA
Rfam family: Bacterial small subunit ribosomal RNA
Source: RNAcentral
UAUCAGGAAACGACUGCUAAGACUGGAUAGGAGACAAGAAGGCAUCUUCUUGUUUUUAAAAGACCUAGCAAUAGGUAUGCUUAGGGAGGAGCUUGCGUCACAUUAGUUAGUUGGUGGGGUAAAGGCCUACCAAGACUAUGAUGUGUAGCCGGGCUGAGAGGUUGAACGGCCACAUUGGGACUGAGACACGGCCCAAACUCCUACGGGAGGCAGCAGUAGGGAAUUUUCGGCAAUGGAGGAAACUCUGACCGAGCAACGCCGCGUGAACGAUGAAGUAUUUCGGUACGUAAAGUUCUUUUAUUAGGGAAGAAUAAAUGAUGGAAAAAUCAUUCUGACGGUACCUAAUGAAUAAGCCCCGGCUAACUAUGUGCCAGCAGCCGCGGUAAUACAUAGGGGGCAAGCGUUAUCCGGAAUUAUUGGGCGUAAAGGGUGCGUAGGCGGUUAAAUAAGUUUAUGGUCUAAGUGCAAUGCUCAACAUUGUGAUGCUAUAAAAACUGUUUAGCUAGAGUAAGAUAGAGGCAAGUGGAAUUCCAUGUGUAGUGGUAAAAUGCGUAAAUAUAUGGAGGAACACCAGUAGCGAAGGCGGCUUGCUGGGUCUUUACUGACGCUGAGGCACGAAAGCGUGGGGAGCAAACAGGAUUAGAUGCCCUGGUGGUCCACGCCGUAAACGAUGAGUACUAAACGUUGGGUAAAACCAGUGUUGAAGUUAACGCAUUAAGUACUCCGCCUGAGUAGUACGUACGCAAGUAUGAAGCUUAAAGGAAUUGACGGGACUCCGCACAGGCGGUGGAUCAUGUUGUUUAAUUCGAAGGUACCCGAAAAACCUUACCGGGUCUUGACAUGCUUCUGCAAAGCUGUAGAAACACAGUGGAGGUUAUCAGUUGCACAGGUGGUGCAUGGUUGUCGUCAGCUCGUGUCGUGAGAUGUUGGGUUAAGUCCCGCAACGAGCGCAACCCUUAUUGUUAGUUACCAGCACGUAAUGGUGGGGACUUUAGCAAGACUGCCAGUGAUAAAUUGGAGGAAGGUGGGGACGACGUCAAAUCAUCAUGCCCCUUAUGACCUGGGCUACAAACGUGAUACAAUGGCUGUUACAAAGGGUAGCUGAAGCGCAAGUUUUUGGCGAAUCUCAAAAAAACAGUCUCAGUUCGGAUUGAAGUCUGCAACUCGACUUCAUGAAGUUGGAAUCGCUAGUAAUCGCGAAUCAGCAUGUCGCGGUGAAUACGUUCUCGGGGUUUGUACACACCGCCCGUCAAUCA